UAUUGAGCAUAAGUAUGUCCCAUGCAAUAUUUGGGAUAUACCUACACUAAAA
This 52-nucleotide microRNA precursor is filed under the name Sus scrofa (pig). RNAcentral describes it as "mir-1302 microRNA precursor family". It matches the Rfam family "mir-1302 microRNA precursor family". Lineage: Eukaryota; Metazoa; Chordata; Mammalia; Artiodactyla; Suidae. The record is from Rfam by way of RNAcentral.